This 254-nucleotide ribosomal RNA is filed under the name uncultured bacterium. Its description in RNAcentral is "partial 16S ribosomal RNA". It matches the Rfam family "Bacterial small subunit ribosomal RNA", at positions 524 to 776 of the family's 1533-position model. The record is from RNAcentral.
UACAGAGGUCCCGAGCGUUGUUCGGAUUCAUUGGGCGUAAAGGGUGCGUAGGCGGCGGGGUAAGUUUGAUGUGAAAGCUCAGGGCUUAACCCUGAAAUGGCAUUGAAUACUACUGUGCUGGAGGUUUGGAGGGGGGACUGGAAUUGCUUGGUGUAGCAGUGAAAUGCGUAGAUAUCAAGAGGAACACCAGUGGCGAAGGCGAGUCCCUGGACAACACCUGACACUGAGGCACGAAAGCUAGGGGAGCAAACAGG